CGGGGUGUGGCGCAGUUGGCUAGCGCACCUGCUUUGGGAGCAGGGGGUCGUGGGUUCGAGUCCCGCUACCCCGA
Molecule: transfer RNA, 74 nt
Filed under: Prevotellaceae bacterium
Lineage: Bacteria; Pseudomonadati; Bacteroidota; Bacteroidia; Bacteroidales; Prevotellaceae
Description: tRNA-Pro
Rfam family: tRNA
About the family: Transfer RNA (tRNA) molecules are approximately 80 nucleotides in length. Their secondary structure includes four short double-helical elements and three loops (D, anti-codon, and T loops).
Source: RNAcentral